This 30-nucleotide non-coding RNA is filed under the name Macaca fascicularis (crab-eating macaque). RNAcentral also lists the same sequence under 1 other name. The record is from RNAcentral. Lineage: Eukaryota; Metazoa; Chordata; Mammalia; Primates; Cercopithecidae.
ACCACACUGUUAUGGGAUCUUUGGGGCAUC